Molecule: ribosomal RNA, 253 nt
Filed under: uncultured bacterium
Lineage: Bacteria
Description: partial 16S ribosomal RNA
Rfam family: Bacterial small subunit ribosomal RNA
Source: RNAcentral
GACAGAGGGGGCAAGCGUUGCUCGGAAUUACUGGGCGUAAAGGGCGCGUAGGCGGGAUGGCAAGUCGGUCGUGAAAUCCUUCGGCUCAACCGAAGAACGUCGAUCGAUACUGCUGUUCUAGAGGAUUGCAGAGGAGACUGGAAUUCCCGGUGUAGUGGUGAAAUGUGUAGAGAUCGGGAGGAACACCGGUGGCGAAGGCGGGUCUCUGGGCAAUUCCUGACGCUGAGGCGCGAAAGCGUGGGGAGCAAACGGG